This 407-nucleotide ribosomal RNA is filed under the name uncultured bacterium. RNAcentral's name for it is "partial 16S ribosomal RNA". It matches the Rfam family "Bacterial small subunit ribosomal RNA", at positions 30 to 526 of the family's 1533-position model. The record is from RNAcentral.
AUUGAACGCCGGCGGCAGGCCUAACACAUGCAAGUCGAGAGGAGCGGCGGACGGGUGAGUAAUGCCUAGGAAUCUGCCUGGUAGUGGGGGAUAACGUCCGGACACGGGCGCUAAUACCGCAUACUAUCAGAUGAGCCUCGGUCGGAUUAGCUAGUUGGUGGGGAAAAGGCCUACCAAGGCAACGAUCCGUAACUGGUCUGAGAGGAUGAUCAGUCACACUGGAACUGAGACGCGGUCCGUACUCCUACGGGAGGAAGCAGUGGGGAAUAUAGGACAAUAGGCGAAAGCCUGAUCCAGCCAUGCCGCGUGUGUGAAGAAGGUCUUCAGAUUGUAAGGCACUUUAAGUUGGGAGGCGUGACCAACAGAAUAAACAACGGCUAACUUCGGGCCAGCAGGCACGGUAAUUC